GCAUUGGUGGGUCAGUAGUGGAAUUCUCACCUUCCAUGUGAGAGACCCAGGUUCGAUUCCUAGACAACGCG
RNAcentral lists this transfer RNA (71 nucleotides) under Loxodonta africana (African savanna elephant). It matches the Rfam family "tRNA". From Rfam's summary of the family: Transfer RNA (tRNA) molecules are approximately 80 nucleotides in length. Their secondary structure includes four short double-helical elements and three loops (D, anti-codon, and T loops). The record is from Rfam by way of RNAcentral. Lineage: Eukaryota; Metazoa; Chordata; Mammalia; Proboscidea; Elephantidae.